UACGAAGGGGGCUAGCGUUGCUCGGAUUGACUGGGCGUAAAGGGCGCGUAGGCGGUUCGUACAGUCAGACGUGAAAUUCCUGGGCUCAACCUGGGGGCUGCGUUUGAUACGUGCGGACUUGAGUGCGGAAGAGGGUCGUGGAAUUCCCAGUGUAGAGGUGAAAAUUCGUAGAUAUUGGGAAGAACACCGAUGGCGAAGGCAGCCAUCUGGACCGACACUGACGCUGAGGCGCGAAAGCGUGGGGAGCAAACAGG
RNAcentral lists this ribosomal RNA (254 nucleotides) under uncultured bacterium. Its description in RNAcentral is "partial 16S ribosomal RNA". It matches the Rfam family "Bacterial small subunit ribosomal RNA", at positions 524 to 776 of the family's 1533-position model. The record is from RNAcentral.